AGCGAACGCUGGCGGCAGGCUUAACACAUGCAAGUCGAGCGGGCCCUUCGGGGUCAGCGGCGGACGGGUGAGUAACGCGUGGGAACGUGCCUUCUGGUUCGGAAUAACUCAGGGAAACUUGAGCUAAUACCGGAUACGCCCUUUUGGGGAAAGGUUUACUGCCGGAAGAUCGGCCCGCGUCUGAUUAGCUAGUUGGUGGGGUAACGGCCUACCAAGGCGACGAUCAGUAGCUGGUCUGAGAGGAUGAUCAGCCACACUGGGACUAAGACACGGCCCAGACUCCUACGGGAGGCAGCAGUGGGGAAUAUUGGACAAUGGGCGCAAGCCUGAUCCAGCCAUGCCGCGUGAGUGAUGAAGGCCUUAGGGUUGUAAAGCUCUUUUAUCCGGGACGAUAAUGACGGUACCGGAGGAAUAAGCCCCGGCUAACUUCGUG
Molecule: ribosomal RNA, 433 nt
Filed under: uncultured bacterium
Lineage: Bacteria
Description: partial 16S ribosomal RNA
Rfam family: Bacterial small subunit ribosomal RNA
Source: RNAcentral